CCUACGGGUGGCAGCAGUGAGGAAUAUUGGUCAAUGGGCGCGAGCCUGAACCAGCCAAGUAGCGUGAGGGAUGACUGCCCUAUGGGUUGUAAACCUCUUUUAUAAAGGAAGAAAGUGAGCCACGUGUGCCUUGUUGUAUGUACUUUAUGAAUAAGGAUCGGCUAACUCCGUGCCAGCAGCCGCGGUAAUACGGAGGAUGCGAGCGUUAUCCGGAUUUAUUGGGUUUAAAGGGUGCGUAGGCGGGCAUUUAAGCUGGUGGUAAAAUGUCGGGGCUUAACCCCGGCCUGCCGUUGGUACUGGGUGACUCGAGUGGGCGCGAAGUAGGCGGAAUGAGUGGUGUAGCGGUGAAAUGCAUAGAUAUCACGCAGAACCCCGAUGGCGAAGGCAGCAUACCGGCGCCCGACUGACGCUGAGGCACGAAAGUGCGGGUAUCGAACAGGAUUAGAUACCCGAGUAGUC
Molecule: ribosomal RNA, 459 nt
Filed under: uncultured bacterium
Lineage: Bacteria
Description: partial 16S ribosomal RNA
Rfam family: Bacterial small subunit ribosomal RNA
Source: RNAcentral